AUGAACGCUGGCGGCGUGCCUAAUACCUGCAAGUCGAGCGAACAGACGAGGAGCUUGCUCCUCUGACGUUAGCGGCGGACGGGUGAGUAACACGUGGAUAACCUACCUAUAAGACUGGGAUAACUUCGGGAAACCGGAGCUAAUACCGGAUAAUAUAUUGAACCGCAUGGUUCAAUAGUGAAAGACGGUUUUGCUGUCACUUAUAGAUGGAUCCGCGCCGCAUUAGCUAGUUGGUAAGGUAACGGCUUACCAAGGCAACGAUGCGUAGCCGACCAGAGAGGGUGAUCGGCCACACUGGAACUGAGACACGGUCCAGACUCCUACGGGAGGCAGCAGUAGGGAAUCUUCCGCAAUGGGCGAAAGCCUGACGGAGCAACGCCGCGUGAGUGAUGAAGGUCUUCGGAUCGUAAAACUCUGUUAUUAGGGAAGAACAAAUGUGUAAGUAACUAUGCACGUCUUGACGGUACCUAAUCAGAAAGCCACGGCUAACUACGUG
Molecule: ribosomal RNA, 496 nt
Filed under: uncultured bacterium
Lineage: Bacteria
Description: partial 16S ribosomal RNA
Rfam family: Bacterial small subunit ribosomal RNA
Source: RNAcentral